This 372-nucleotide ribosomal RNA is filed under the name uncultured bacterium. RNAcentral's name for it is "bacterial SSU rRNA". It matches the Rfam family "Bacterial small subunit ribosomal RNA", at positions 521 to 896 of the family's 1533-position model. The record is from RNAcentral.
UAAAACGGAAGUGGCAAGCGUUGUCCGGAAUCACUGGGCGUAAAGCGGACGUAGGCGGAUAACUAAGUUGAAUGUGAAAACCAACUGCUCAACGGUUGGCCUGCAUCCAAAACUGAUUAUCUUGAGUCUGGCAGAGGGGAGCGGAACUUCUGGUGUAGCGGUGGAAUGCGUAGAUAUCAGAAGGAACACCUACGGCGAAGGCAGUUCUCUGGGCCAAGACUGACGCUGAGGUCCGAAAGCUAGGGUAGCAAACGGGAUUAGAUACCCCGGUAGUCCUAGCCGUAAACGAUGGACACUUGACGUGGGCGAUUUUAGUCUGCGUCGGAGCUAACGUAUUAAGUGUCCCGCCUGGGGAGUACGUUCGCAAGGAUG